GCCUCGCCUGAGGUUGGAAGAAAACACAGGAAUAAGACAAAGGGGAGUUAACUUUUUGUUAAAUUUUAAAACACAGCUAAAACUGAAGUGACAGUUUCUGUUGCCUCACGUGCUGACACUUAAAAAAGGGUCCACAGCCAUAUGUGAAAAUUACAGUAAUUAGUCAAAAUUACAGCGUUUUCAAAUAGAAGGUGACUGUUUUAUUGCAUCUUUAAACAGUGAGACCACAAACUACUUUAUGACAGUGUUUUACUGUACAGGCUGUGUUCCAGGUCAAACUUCAUUUUUGUUGACAUACAGUUUGCUGAGAGAGGCACAAACCUCUGCCAUGAGCAGAAAUAUCUGGUUAUGGAUGUUUUGGAAGCAAUGGUUGUGGAUGGGUUCUGCAUGUGUGUGUGUGUGUUGUGAACUAUUUCUCACAGUGUCUGUCUCCCUCUGGUACAGAGGACCUACAGAGUUGUCAGAGAGUGGGAGUACAAGAAAAAAAGAAUCAGGAAAACUACCACUGGCUCCAUCUCAGCACUGGGACUUUCCACUGCUUCGGCCUCAUGUAUCUGUCUGAAAUUUUCCCCAAACAAAACACAAAGCCUCGACUAAAGCACACAAGUCCAGCUUUCUCUAACAAUACUCAUAUUAUAACUAAAAGCAUGCCCAUAACAACAAUAGUAGCUAAUAUUAAUGGCAAAGUCAAACAGAAUAUACAUCAGUGCUGAGUAGCAGCACAGUAGAGACCUAAUUAUUGUUAUUAGUUUAAAUGUGAUUUUUCUGCUAGGGUUCUGAAAUGCAUUACUUACAGCAAAAUACUAAAAAGCAAAUAAUCGUCUGUGCUUCACUUGUUUUUGUUCAUACUGCAGAUGUAUAUUUAAAGUGGUUUUUUUCAUUAGAUGUAAAAAACAAACCAAAAAACACACAGUUGGUACCACCUAUUUACUACAAAAUGCAUCUGAGCUGGCUCAAAAGCAGAGGAAGUUACGUGUGUGUAUGUAUGUCCAGCUCUGUAUUGCAGGGUUAACAAUGAUGUCAUAAAAUCGGGCAACACACUAGUUUGAGGUGAUCCGAAAAUAAUUAGAUCAUUAAGUCAUUCAGAGGGCAGUAGUGCAUAAACAUGCGCACAGACAAGCUUGGUAAUGUCAUAAAAUGUGUGCUGCUCCAUUCACCCAAACACCCCUAUGUGCCUUUAGUUUGGGCAUGGCUGGUGGUUCUUGUCUUGCCUGUCCCUCUAGCAUGUUCCUGCUUGCCCCACUGUGUGCCAUGGCAACAGGGGUGACAUCAUUGUUUUCAGCAGGACAGAGGGGUGGCAAUAAAAGAAGAGAGAAGGUGACACCACACUGUCCAAUCAGGAUCUGGGACACAUAACUGCUUAUCAGAGUUUAUUAGGUUCACAUGAUCAAAGCCUAUUUGUCUUGAAAGAACUUCAAACAGCUUGGAGUCAGGAUGAGAUUGGAUUACAAAUGGAGGAGGACUAUAAAGAUGAAGGCAAGAAGAAGAAAGAAUAGAUGGUCAAGAUUAAUGUUUCUAACAACCAAAUUGUCAAGUUAAAAUGCAAUAAUCACAAUUAAUAUGAUGCUUACAAUUACGUUAUAAUUUCUGUUUGUCAUUUUGACAGAGUUAUAAUGUAGGGAACACAAAGGAAGUGCACUGAAGACGUCAUAGUGGCGCAAUCCCUCUAAUUGAAAUAUAUCUGAAGGCCUCAGACUGUGAUGUGUCUCAUGAUAUACAGUAUAUUUAAAAAGUAGGAUUUUAGAAAUGCAACAUAUCAACACACAUGAUACAGGUGUCCACUGCCCAGGCACAUAUGUGAGACUACUGGCAGCAUGGGACAUCUACACUUGCUAAUAAACACUGAUGAUGACAGGCGUGUGAGCACUUUAGAGCAGAAAUACAGCCUUUGGGACGGUAUAUCUGAUUAUGUUUGUCAGGAUGAGUUUUGCUGCUCGUGCAUAAAACACCAAGUCAGCACAACCACAAUAUCACACAGCUCCCCCUGCCCCUUCUGAGCUCAGCGUGUUUGAACAUGAAGGCCUUUUUUUUCUUCAACACCCUUUACUGAUUGGCCCUUGUCCCUGUUAUUAUAAUCUCUGUUUUCUUAUCAUGAGGCAUAUGGAGUCAAAUUGUAGCUCAGUCAGCAAAAAACAACACACACACACACACACACACACACACACACACACACACACACAAAAUCCUGAAAAGAAAUAUAGAGGUGCUAAUCCUACUGAGAUGAAUCUAGAGACACUCAUUCAGUCCCACAUGUUUGAGUGAAAGCAGUGUUAUCUUCCAGUUCAAUGCAAGAUAUGGGGUGGUGCUAGUAAAUAUCAUGGUUUCUUAGUCUUUUGAGUCUAACUUGCAGGACAAACACUAUAGACUCUUAAAUAAGAUCCAUCUGAAUUCAUUUGUGUCACACUCAUGGUGAGUAUUUUUCUUAUGCAGCCUAUUGGAAUUUUUUUUUUACAUUUAACUUCCAACCCAGAAGAUAUUUCAAGUGUUAAAAAAAAAACACUAAAGAGCACCCACCACCAUACCACUACCCCUUCACUUCUUCUGUAAUUAUCUUCAAUGAGAGACAGGAUGAAACCUGAGAAAGGUGAA
Molecule: long non-coding RNA, 2589 nt
Organism: Solea senegalensis (Senegalese sole)
Lineage: Eukaryota; Metazoa; Chordata; Actinopteri; Pleuronectiformes; Soleidae
Exons: 3
Source: RefSeq, a predicted model, not a curated record